This 368-nucleotide ribosomal RNA is filed under the name uncultured Oscillospiraceae bacterium. Its description in RNAcentral is "bacterial SSU rRNA". It matches the Rfam family "Bacterial small subunit ribosomal RNA", at positions 28 to 339 of the family's 1533-position model. The record is from RNAcentral. Lineage: Bacteria; Bacillati; Bacillota; Clostridia; Eubacteriales; Oscillospiraceae.
GAUAAACGCUGGCGGCGCACAUAAGACAUGCAAGUCGAACGGAAGUCGUCAUAAUGAGUCUGAAACAGAUUUGACGAUUUAUCUGAUAUGAAGUAGAUGAUGAUUUAUGACAAUGGCUUUAGUGGCGGACUGGUGAGUAACACGUAAGCAACCUGCCUAUUAGAGGGGAAUAACAGUGAGAAAUCAUUGCUAAUACCGCAUAAGCUAGUAGUAUCGCAUGAUACAGCUAAGAAAAGGAGUAAUCCGCUAAUAGAUGGGCUUGCGUCUGAUUAGCUAGUUGGUGGGGUAACGGCCUACCAAGGCGACGAUCAGUAGCCGAACUGAGAGGUUGAACGGCCACAUUGGGACUGAGAUACGGCCCAGACUCC